RNAcentral lists this non-coding RNA (32 nucleotides) under Rattus norvegicus (Norway rat). Lineage: Eukaryota; Metazoa; Chordata; Mammalia; Rodentia; Muridae. The record is from RNAcentral.
UGAAGAAAGGUCAGAAGCUCAAUGGCGCCAGU